Molecule: ribosomal RNA, 332 nt
Filed under: uncultured bacterium
Lineage: Bacteria
Description: bacterial SSU rRNA
Rfam family: Bacterial small subunit ribosomal RNA
Source: RNAcentral
CGCGUAGGCGGCAUCUUAAGUCAGGUGUGAAAGCCCCCGGCUCAACUGGGGAGUUGCAUCUGAUACUGGGAGGCUAGAGUGCAGGAGAGGAAAGUGGAAUUCCGUGUGUAGCGGUGAAAUGCGUAGAUAUACGGAGGAACACCAGUGGCGAAGGCGGCUUUCUGGACUGCAACUGACGCUGAGGCGCGAAAGCUGGGGGAGCGAACGGGAUUAGAUACCCCGGUAGUCCCAGCCGUAAACGAUGGAUGCUAGGUGUGGGGGGUAUCGACCCCUUCCGUGCCGCAGUCAACACAAUAAGCAUCCCGCCUGGGGAGUACGGCCGCAAGGUUGAA